AGCGCAUAGGACGGGUAUUGCAGGUUCAGCGCCUGCAUGGCGCUUUCGAUUAGGUCCAGGCGGCGCUGGUGCAAGGCCACGAUGCGUUGC
Molecule: transfer RNA, 90 nt
Filed under: Achromobacter pestifer
Lineage: Bacteria; Pseudomonadati; Pseudomonadota; Betaproteobacteria; Burkholderiales; Alcaligenaceae
Description: tRNA-Cys
Source: RNAcentral